RNAcentral lists this unclassified non-coding RNA (433 nucleotides) under soil metagenome. RNAcentral's name for it is "partial contains 5.8S ribosomal RNA, internal transcribed spacer 2, and large subunit ribosomal RNA". The stretch from base 1 to 120 matches the Rfam family "5.8S ribosomal RNA", at positions 35 to 154 of the family's 154-position model. The record is from RNAcentral.
GAUGAAGAACGCAGCGAAAUGCGAUACGUAAUGUGAAUUGCAGAAUUCAGUGAAUCAUCGAAUCUUUGAACGCAUAUUGCGCUCUCUGGUAUUCCUGAGAGCAUGCUUGUUUGAGUAUCAGUAAACACCUCAACUUCCAUAUCUUUUUUGAAAUGGGAGUUUGACUUGAGUGAUCCCAACGCUUUUCCUCACCGAAAAGUGGCGGGUUACUUGAAAUGCAGGUGCAGCUGGACUUUUCUCUGAGCUAUAAGCAUAUCUAUUUAGUCUGCCUAAAAAACAGAUUAUUACCUUUGCUGCAGCUAACAUAAAGGAGAUUAGUUCUUGUGCUGACUGAUGCAGGAUUCACAAAGACAGGCUUCGGCCGACUUUGUAAACUCGAUCUCAAAUCAAGUAAGACUACCCGCUGAACUUAAGCAUAUCAAUAAGCGGAGGA